GGGUUGGGCCCAAUAUCUGUCAGGUGAGGAAUUCAAUGACAGCUUUGCACCUGCUUGUGAAUGGUGAGUUGGGCUUAACUAAGGAGUGUAGUCUAUAUCUGUCAAGUGAGCCCACAUGAUUUAGAGACCAAGUUGCUACAACACACUUAGAAAAGCAUCUGGAUAAGAAGUUAUCUAUGCAUCAGUGUGCGUAUUAUCAAUAUCUGUCAGAUGAGGUACAUAGCA
Molecule: long non-coding RNA, 225 nt
Filed under: Elaeis guineensis (African oil palm)
Lineage: Eukaryota; Viridiplantae; Streptophyta; Magnoliopsida; Arecales; Arecaceae
Description: long non-coding RNA (EGUI_LNC027763)
Source: RNAcentral